Molecule: transfer RNA, 75 nt
Filed under: Senegalia brevispica
Lineage: Eukaryota; Viridiplantae; Streptophyta; Magnoliopsida; Fabales; Fabaceae
Description: partial tRNA-His
Source: RNAcentral
AUGGAGAUCUCUGUAAAUUUUAGAUAGUAUAGGGGCGGAUGUAGCCAAGUGGAUCAAGGCAGUGGAUUUGUGAAU